RNAcentral lists this ribosomal RNA (492 nucleotides) under uncultured bacterium. Its description in RNAcentral is "partial 16S ribosomal RNA". It matches the Rfam family "Bacterial small subunit ribosomal RNA", at positions 29 to 507 of the family's 1533-position model. The record is from RNAcentral.
AGUGAACGCUGGCGGUAGGCCUAACACAUGCAAGUCGAACGGCAGCACAGUAAGAGCUUGCUCUUACGGGUGGCGAGUGGCGGACGGGUGAGGAAUACAUCGGAAUCUACUUUUUCGUGGGGGAUAACGUAGGGAAACUUACGCUACUACCGCAUACGACCUACGGGUGAAAGCAGGGGAUCUUCGGACCUUGCGCGACUGAAUGAGCCGAUGUCGGAUUAGCUAGUUGGCGGGGUAAAGGCCCACCAAGGCGACGAUCCGUAGCUGGUCUGAGAGGAUGAUCAGCCACACUGGAACUGAGACACGGUCCAGACUCCUACGGGAGGCAGCAGUGGGGAAUAUUGGACAAUGGGCGCAAGCCUGAUCCAGCCAUACCGCGUGGGUGAAGAAGGCCUUCGGGUUGUAAAGCCCUUUUGUUGGGAAAGAAAAGCAGCAGGUUAAUACCCCGCUGUUCUGACGGUACCCAAAGAAUAAGCACCGGCUAACUUCGUG